RNAcentral lists this ribosomal RNA (429 nucleotides) under Acidobacteriota bacterium. RNAcentral describes it as "Acidobacteria bacterium partial 16S ribosomal RNA". It matches the Rfam family "Bacterial small subunit ribosomal RNA", at positions 355 to 776 of the family's 1533-position model. The record is from RNAcentral. Lineage: Bacteria; Pseudomonadati; Acidobacteriota.
UGGGGAAUUUUGGACAAUGGGGGAAACCCUGAUCCAGCCAUCCCGCGUGUGCGAUGAAGGCCUUCGGGUUGUAAAGCACUUUUGGCAGGAAAGAAACGUCAUGGGUUAAUACCCCGUGAAACUGACGGUACCUGCAGAAUAAGCACCGGCUAACUACGUGCCAGCAGCCGCGGUAAUACGCAGGGUGCAAGCGUUAAUCGGAAUUACUGGGCGUAAAGCGUGCGCAGGCGGUUCGGAAAGAAAGAUGUGAAAUCCCAGAGCUCAACUUUGGAACUGCAUUUUUAACUACCGGGCUAGAGUGUGUCAGAGGGAGGUGGAAUUCCGCGUGUAGCAGUGAAAUGCGUAGAUAUGCGGAGGAACACCGAUGGAGAAGGCAGCCUCCUGGGAUAACACUGACGCUCAUGCACGAAAGCGUGGGGAGCAAACAGG